AACCAUGCCCAAUAUGGGAUAAGCCUUUGGAAGAAACAUUUAUUGUUCACAGAGAAGCUCGACAUGGAUUAGCUAGGUGAGGAGCUACAAGCUCACUAAGAUAGCAAUCAGUAGUUGAUCGGAGAGGCCGAUCCGCCACACUGCCAUUGAGAUACAGACUAGACUCCUACGUCAGGAAGCAGUAGACAAUUUUCCGUAAUUUGCGAAAGCCUGACGGAGCAAGACCGCAUGAGGGAAGAAGCCUCUUGGGUUGUAAACCUCUUUUCUCCGGGAAGAAGCUCUGACGGUACCUGAGGAAUCAGCCUCGGCUAACUCCGUGCCAGCACCCCCGGUAAUACGGAAGACGCCACCGUUAUCCGGAAUUAUUGGGCGUAAACCGGCCGCAUGCGGCGAUACCAGUCUGCUGUCAAAGCACGGGGCUUAACUCCGUUAAGGCCGUGGAAACUGAAUAGCUAGAGUGCCGUAGGGGUAGAGGGAAUUCCCGGUGUAGCGGUGAAAUGCGUAGAGAUCGGGAAGAACAUCGGUGGCGAAAGCGCUCUACUGGACGGCA
This 550-nucleotide ribosomal RNA is filed under the name uncultured organism. RNAcentral's name for it is "partial 16S ribosomal RNA". It matches the Rfam family "Bacterial small subunit ribosomal RNA", at positions 155 to 738 of the family's 1533-position model. The record is from RNAcentral.